GAGGGAAGCAAUUUGUUGCUCUGCUCUCUCCUAAUUUUACGUUUUCUAGUGAGAACUGUGCGGACGUUCAGAUUGGCCAUAUUUUUACCUAUAAAGAACAGAGAACUGGAUGCCUGGCCAGAGAAAGCAGAGAGGACAGAGCAUGAGGGAGGAAUGGUCACUGCAUCUCCCCAGAGAGGGCAGAGGACAGAGAGGGGAGUUUGUGUCCUUGGUGAUGGAGAGGCUUGCCCCAUCCUGCUUUAGAGAAGGUCCGUCCUUGUCGCCAGAGCUGGCUGUCCAGGAACAUCCUGUUUGCACACAGAUGGUCACUGUGAAGGACAGAGAGGAGCCUGACUGCAUCCCCUGAGCGCUUGGAUCCAGCCAUGCCUGAAGGGAUUCUGAAGCUGGUUCUCCUAACUGGAGAAGCCCAGAAAGGAGAGCCUGGAGGAGAAGAGACAGAUUCCUUGACGUCAGUCCUGACAGCUGAAGCCACAGAUAGGCACCAUGAAGCGGGAUCUCGGAGGGAACCGCACACGAGUAGGGACGGGUCAGAGCAGGACCCUGAAGCCAAACCUCAUGGUCUGAGCCCUGCUCACCACUCAGCUGUGUUACCUGGGACAGGUCGCUUGCCGUCUCCGUAUCCGGGUCUGUCAGCUGAGGACAGUGAUAAGCCCGCCCCGUGGGGUGUGAGCUGAUGAGUCUGUGUGGACGGUGCCCAGGACAAGGCCUGGCCCCCGCGACCCAGGGCUCUGGGCUCUCUCCACAGAACUGCCGGGUCAGGGGACAAUUUCCAUCUCCUGUGGGGACGUGACCUGUGCACCCGCCGGGCAGAGGGUGCGACAGUGUUGGGUGGGGCCUGCUCUCUGCGACCAUCCUGAGAGUGAACGACUUGCAUUCUCACCAUACCCACGUUUAAUUCAUAAGGAUUCAAAUACAUGCAUUUUGCCAGAAAAAAUGAGAAAGCUAAUUCAAAUUAAACUGUAAAAUUAAA
Molecule: long non-coding RNA, 970 nt
Filed under: Equus caballus (horse)
Lineage: Eukaryota; Metazoa; Chordata; Mammalia; Perissodactyla; Equidae
Description: lncRNA (ENSECAG00000035697.3)
Source: RNAcentral